Molecule: ribosomal RNA, 665 nt
Filed under: uncultured Staphylococcus sp.
Lineage: Bacteria; Bacillati; Bacillota; Bacilli; Caryophanales; Staphylococcaceae
Description: bacterial SSU rRNA
Rfam family: Bacterial small subunit ribosomal RNA
Source: RNAcentral
GGGUGAGUAACACGUGGAUAACCUACCUAUAAGACUGGGAUAACUUCGGGAAACCGGAGCUAAUACCGGAUAAUAUAUUGAACCGCAUGGUUCAAUAGUGAAAGACGGUUUUGCCGUCACUUAUAGAUGGAUCCGCGCCGCAUUAGCUAGUUGGUAAGGUAACGGCUUACCAAGGCAACGAUGCGUAGCCGACCUGAGAGGGUGAUCGGCCACACUGGAACUGAGACACGGUCCAGACUCCUACGGGAGGCAGCAGUAGGGAAUCUUCCGCAAUGGGCGAAAGCCUGACGGAGCAACGCCGCGUGAAUGAUGAAGGUCUUCGGAUCGUAAAACUCUGUUAUUAGGGAAGAACAAAUGUGUAAGUAACUAUGCACGUCUUGACGGUACCUAAUCAGAAAGCCACGGCUAACUACGUGCCAGCAGCCGCGGUAAUACGUAGGUGGCAAGCGUUAUCCGGAAUUAUUGGGCGUAAAGCGCGCGUAGGCGGUUUUUUAAGUCUGAUGUGAAAGCCCACGGCUCAACCGUGGAGGGUCAUUGGAAACUGGAAAACUUGAGUGCGGAAGAGGAAAGUGGAAUUCCAUGUGUAGCGGUGAAAUGCGCAGAGAUAUGGAGGAACACCAGUGGCGAAGGCGACUUUCUGGUCUGUAACUGACGCUGAUGUGCGA